RNAcentral lists this ribosomal RNA (375 nucleotides) under uncultured organism. RNAcentral's name for it is "bacterial SSU rRNA". It matches the Rfam family "Bacterial small subunit ribosomal RNA", at positions 526 to 896 of the family's 1533-position model. The record is from RNAcentral.
CGUAGGGGCCAAGCGUUGUCCGGAUUUAUUGGGCGUAAAGAGCUCGUAGGUGGUUCGGCAAGUCAGUUGUGAAAUCUCCGCGCUCAACGCGGAGGGGUCAGCUGAAACUGCUGUGACUUGAGUCUGGUAGGGGAGUGGUGGAAUUCCCGGUGUAGCGGUGAAAUGCGCAGAUAUCGGGAGGAACACCAGUGGCGAAGGCGGCACUCUGGGCCAGUACUGACACUGAGGAGCGAAAGCGUGGGGAGCGAACAGGAUUAGAUACCCUGGUAGUCCACGCCGUAAACGUUGGGCACUAGGUGUGGGGACCUAUCGACGGUUUCCGUGCCGUAGCUAACGCAUUAAGUGCCCCGCCUGGGGAGUACGGCCGCAAGGCUA